RNAcentral lists this long non-coding RNA (1583 nucleotides) under Parus major (Great Tit). RNAcentral's name for it is "lncRNA (ENSPMJG00000004420.1)". The stretch from base 1364 to 1554 matches the Rfam family "U2 spliceosomal RNA". The record is from RNAcentral. Lineage: Eukaryota; Metazoa; Chordata; Aves; Passeriformes; Paridae.
CAUGGAAUCCUCACCCGCGGGUUCCCCGUGGCCCCUCCCCAGCGUGGGGGAAACCUCAGCCCGGGGUGACCUUCAGGGCACCCUGAAGUGACCACAAUGACCCCAGCUCAGCCGCGGGAGCUGGGGAUCCCCUGAGGCCUGGUGAGUUCUGGGGGUCCCUGGGCUGGGGUUUUUGGGGGUCCCGGGCCCCCCAUGAGGAAACCCCCACCCGUCUGACCCCCCCGCCGGGCCCAGGACCUGCAAAGGUGGAACCCCCUGGAGCCCCCGGGGGGAAGAGAGGACGAGCGGUCCCAGCGGGGACGGUCUGAGGGGGCCUCGGAGGGGCUGGUUUGGGGUUCUGGGGGGGAUUUUGGGGUGUCCAGGGCACACAAUGACCCCUCCUCUAUUUCCAUUCCAGGAUUCAAUCCCCUUCUGCCCCCCGGGGGUCCCGGAUGGGGUGAGCCCCUUCCCCCGUGGGGCAGAGCCGGGGGGCCCGAGGCCGGCUCGGGACUUCGGGGGGCACGAGGUGACGUCAACCAUCAACACACCUGGAGCCAGGUGCCGCAGGUGUCGGGGGGCUCAGCUCUUGGAUCAUCGAUGCAAAUCAAUUUUUCAUCAAUGCAAAUAAAAAUCGUUAUUUUUGUUAAAAACCUUGAGUUUGUUUUUAUUUGGGGAGGGGGGAACCCCAGAUGGGGUCGGGGUGGGGGGUCCCAUUCCCCUGGAGGGGCUCAGUGUCCCUGCCCGGGGACAAAACCCAGCCCAGGACCCCAAAUUUUGGGUUAAAAAACCCAAUUUUGGAACCUUUGAAGGAUUUUGGUCCUGCCCAGAUCACCCCAAAAUUCCCCAAACAGAGAGAAACGCCCCAAUAUCCCCCCAAACCCGCAAUGCGGCCGUGGAUAUGCAAAUUUAUGUUUAAUUAGGCUAAUCAAGCACUGCGAAAUAAUACUAUUUAAUGAUUAUUUAAUGAUGUAAUUCUUUAAUAAGCGCGGUUAUGCUAAUGAGAUCGGGUAUCGUGUUUUAAGGGGCGUGGCGAAUGCAAAUUAAGGGCUCGAUCAUCCAAUCAGGAGCGGACAGCUGAGGGGCGUGGCUUCAAAACGCCGUGCCGUGAGAGGGGCGGAGUUAUGUAGAUUAAAUAGGCGGUGUUAUGCAAAUCAGAGACGCUGGGACACACCCACAGCCCGCGAAAAUGCAUGACGGGAGCAGAAUUGGGGCAGAAUUCGGGGGUUUCGGGGCUCGGCGCGGGCGGAGCGCGGGAGCGAAGCGCGGAGCGGCUGCGGAAAAGCUCCCGGAGCGGCUCGGGGCAGCUGCGGGGGCGGCGCGGGGGUGACCGUGAGGUGCGGGCGGGCCGAGCGGGGCCGGCUGCGGGGAGCGGAGCGAGCCCGGCAUCGCUUCUCGGCCUUUUGGCUAAGAUCAAGUGUAGUAUCUGUUCUUAUCAGUUUAAUAUCUGAUACGUCCUCGAUGAGAGGACUUCAUAUUAAACGGAUUUUUGGGCUCGGGAGUUGGACCCGGAGCUUGCUCCCUCCGCUCCGCGCAUCGUCCCGGUAUUGCAGUGCCUCCGGGAACGGUGCACCCCGCUCGGGGUCAUUGUAUCGGUUAACGACAGA